This 467-nucleotide ribosomal RNA is filed under the name uncultured bacterium. Its description in RNAcentral is "partial 16S ribosomal RNA". It matches the Rfam family "Bacterial small subunit ribosomal RNA", at positions 28 to 507 of the family's 1533-position model. The record is from RNAcentral.
GACGAACGCUGGCGGCGUGCUUAACACAUGCAAGUCGAACGGAAAGGCCCUGCUUUUGUGGGGUGCUCGAGUGGCGAACGGGUGAGUAACACGUGAGUAACCUGCCCUUGACUUUGGGAUAACUUCAGGAAACUGGGGCUAAUACCGGAUAGGAGCUCCUGCUGCAUGGUGGGGGUUGGAAAGUUUCGGCGGUUGGGGAUGGACUCGCGGCUUAUCAGCUUGUUGGUGGGGUAGUGGCUACCAAGGGUUUGACGGGGAGCCGGCCUGAGAGGGUGACCGGCCACAUUGGGACUGAGAUACGGCCCAGACUCCUACGGGAGGCAGCAGUGGGGAAUAUUGCACAAUGGGCGGAAGCCUGAUGCAGCACCGCCGCGUGCGGGAUGACGGCCUUCGGGUUGUAAACCGCUUUCGCCUGUGACGAAGCGUGAGUGACGGUAAUGGGUAAAGAAGCACCGGCUAACUACGUG